RNAcentral lists this ribosomal RNA (483 nucleotides) under uncultured bacterium. RNAcentral's name for it is "partial 16S ribosomal RNA". It matches the Rfam family "Bacterial small subunit ribosomal RNA", at positions 28 to 507 of the family's 1533-position model. The record is from RNAcentral.
GAUGAACGCUGGCGGCGUGCCUAACACAUGCAAGUCGAACGGAGUCGUUUUGGAAAUCUCUUCGGAGAUGGAAUUCUCGACUUAGUGGCGGACGGGUGAGUAACGCGUGAGCAAUCUGCCUUUAAGAGGGGGAUAACAGUCGGAAACGGCUGCUAAUACCGCAUAAAGCAUUAAAUUCGCAUGUUUUUGAUGCCAAAGGAGCAAUCCGCUUUUAGAUGAGCUCGCGUCUGAUUAGCUAGUUGGCGGGGUAACGGCCCACCAAGGCGACGAUCAGUAGCCGGACUGAGAGGUGGAACGGCCACAUUGGGACUGAGACACGGCCCAGACUCCUACGGGAGGCAGCAGUGGGGAAUAUUGCGCAAUGGGGGAAACCCUGACGCAGCAACGCCGCGUGAUUGAAGAAGGCCUUCGGGUUGUAAAGAUCUUUAAUCAGGGACGAAACAAAUGACGGUACCUGAAGAAUAAGCUCCGGCUAACUACGUG